GUAGGUGAACCUGCGGAGGGAUCAUUACCGAGUGAGGGCCCUCGCGCCCGACCUCCAACCCUUUGUCGAUCAAUAUCUGUUGCCUCGGGGGGCGACCCGGCCGUCCGCGGGCGGGGGUCCUCCAGAGGACCAAUCAACUCUGCAUCCUUGCGUCGAGUAUUGAAUACAAAUCAAUCAAAACUUUUAACAACGGAUCUCUUGGUUCUG
Molecule: unclassified non-coding RNA, 207 nt
Filed under: rhizosphere metagenome
Description: partial ribosomal RNA internal transcribed spacer region
Source: RNAcentral